Molecule: ribosomal RNA, 436 nt
Filed under: uncultured organism
Description: bacterial SSU rRNA
Rfam family: Bacterial small subunit ribosomal RNA
Source: RNAcentral
GCGCAGCAGGCGCGAAUCUUCCACAAUGGACGAAAGUCUGAUGGAGCGACGCCGCGUGAUUGAUGAAGUCCCCCUGGGACGUAAAGAUCUUUUAUGAGGGAAGAAGUUUAUUGACGGUACCUCAUGAAUAAGAGGCUCCUAAUCUCGUGCCAGCAGGAGCGGUAAUACGAGAGCCUCGAGCGUUAUCCGGAAUUAUUGGGCGUAAAGGGUGCGUAGGUUGUUCUGUUAGUCUUUUGUCAAAGCCCCGAGCUUAACUUGGGAUAUGCGGAAGAAACGGCAGAACUUGAAAGUGCGAGAGGCGUACGGAACUCAUGGUGUAGGGGUGAAAUCCGUUGAUAUCAUGGGGAACACCAAAUGCGAAGGCAGUACGCUGGCGCAUAUUUGACACUGAAGCACGAAAGCGUGGGUAGCGAAUGGGAUUAGAUACCCGCGUAGU